UGCGUAGGCAGCAAGCGUUGUUCGGAGUUACUGGGCGUAAAGAGUGCGUAGGCGGUCCUGUAAGUUUGGUGUGAAAUCUCCCGGCUCAACUGGGAGGGUGCGCCGAAGACUGCAGGGCUUGAGUAUGGGAGAGGUAAGCGGAAUUCCUGGUGUAGCGGUGAAAUGCGUAGAUAUCAGGAGGAACACCUAUGGCGAAGGCAGCUCGCUGGGACGUUACUGACGCUGAGACGCGAAAGCGUGGGGAGCGAACAGG
Molecule: ribosomal RNA, 253 nt
Filed under: uncultured bacterium
Lineage: Bacteria
Description: partial 16S ribosomal RNA
Rfam family: Bacterial small subunit ribosomal RNA
Source: RNAcentral